UACGUAGGGACCAAGCGUUGUCCGGAUUUAUUGGGCGUAAAGAGCUCGUAGGCGGUUCUGUAAGUCGAGUGUGAAAAAUCUGGGCUCAACCCAGUGGAGCACUCGAUACUGCAGUGACUCGAGUCCGGUAGGGGAGUGUGGAAUUCCAGGUGUAGCGGUGAAAUGCGCAGAUAUCUGGAGGAACACCAACAGCGAAGGCAGCACUCUGGGCCGGUACUGACGCUGAGGAGCGAAAGCGUGGGGAGCGAACAGG
RNAcentral lists this ribosomal RNA (253 nucleotides) under uncultured bacterium. RNAcentral's name for it is "partial 16S ribosomal RNA". It matches the Rfam family "Bacterial small subunit ribosomal RNA", at positions 524 to 776 of the family's 1533-position model. The record is from RNAcentral.